GCUAGCGGCAGGCCUAAUACAUGCAAGUCGAGGGGCAGCAGGUUCGAGUUUACUUGAACGCUGGCGACCGGCGCACGGGUGCGUAACGCGUAUGCAACCUACCUACUACAGAGGGAUAGCCACUGGAAACAGUGAUUAAUACCUCAUAAUGCAGGGACUCCACCUGGGGAAAUUGCUAAAGAUUUAUCGGUAGUAGAUGGGCAUGCGUAAGAUUAGCUAGUUGGUGGUGUAACGGACCACCAAGGCGACGAUCUUUAGCGGGUCUGAGAGGAUGAUCCGCCACACUGGAACUGAGACACGGUCCAGACUCCUACGGGAGGCAGCAGUAGGGAAUAUUGGUCAAUGGGGGCAACCCUGAACCAGCCAUGCCGCGUGCAGGAAGACAGCCUUCUGGGUUGUAAACUGCUUUUAUCAGGGGGGAAUUGUCGGGAUGCGUCCCGAAGUUGACAGUACCUGAUGAAUAAGCACCGGCUAACUCCGUGCCAGCAGCCGCGGUAAUACGGAGGGUGCAAGCGUUGUCCGGAUUUAUUGGGUUUAAAGGGUGCGUAGGCGGGACAAUAAGUCAGUGGUGAAAGUCCACCGCUCAACGGUGGGAUU
This 597-nucleotide ribosomal RNA is filed under the name uncultured Bacteroidota bacterium. RNAcentral's name for it is "bacterial SSU rRNA". It matches the Rfam family "Bacterial small subunit ribosomal RNA", at positions 35 to 622 of the family's 1533-position model. Lineage: Bacteria; Pseudomonadati; Bacteroidota. The record is from RNAcentral.